This 316-nucleotide ribosomal RNA is filed under the name uncultured bacterium. RNAcentral describes it as "bacterial SSU rRNA". It matches the Rfam family "Bacterial small subunit ribosomal RNA", at positions 28 to 334 of the family's 1533-position model. The record is from RNAcentral.
GAUGAACGCUAGCGGCAGGCUUAACACAUGCAAGUCGAGGGGCAGCGUAAUGAAGUAGCAAUACGGAUUUGACGGCGACCGGCGCACGGGUGCGUAACGCGUAUGUAACCUACCUUUAACAGGGGGAUAACACUGAGAAAUUGGUACUAAUACCCCAUAAUACUUUAGGAGGCAUCUCCUUUGGUUGAAAGUCCCGGCGGUUAAAGAUGGACAUGCGUUGUAUUAGCUAGAUGGUGAGGUAACGGCUCACCAUGGCGACGAUACAUAGGGGGACUGAGAGGUUAACCCCCCACACUGGUACUGAGACACGGACCAG